This is a long non-coding RNA of Daucus carota subsp. sativus, 1682 nucleotides long. RefSeq lists it as uncharacterized. The record is from RefSeq and is a predicted model, not a curated record. The transcript is spliced from 3 exons. NCBI's taxonomy places the organism in Eukaryota, Viridiplantae, Streptophyta, Magnoliopsida, Apiales, Apiaceae.
GGAGAGAUAAUUGGGGGUUUAGGGUUCGUGUGUGUUUUUUUCAAAUCAACCGAUCAAGCCGCUAUUUCAGGUGAGAUAUAGUACUUAUAUAUGUAUGUAUGUGUAUGGUAUAUGCCAGCUUGUGUGGUGAUUUUGUUAAAAUCGAUGGUGGCUGGGGCUUGGGUUGCUGAUUGGUGGCCAUGGUGGCGUGGCCACCGGAGACUAGUCGCAGGGUUGUACAGAUGCUGGGAUGUAGACACUUGAGCAAUUGAAGUAUUUCUGCAAGCACACCAAGAAUCAUCGCACUGGAGCCAAAGAUCGGGUUCUGUAUCUCACUUAUCUCGCGAUUUGCAAGCAGCUCGAUCCCAAAGGCCCCUUUCAUCGUUAAGGAAUCAAGUAUGUGGGGAGAUCUUGAAUUGAUUCAUGUAUUCUGGUUUUUAUAUGUUAUGUUAUGGUUUUAUUAAGUGUGUUAUCAGCUUCUAGAUUAUUAAGUCUUGAGUAGUAAUGAAUGUAAUAUCGCAAUGGCAGUCUUAUCAAGUUGUUUUGUCUGAAAAUCUGAACGCUUUAAAUUCUAUUUGUGAAUGUGCAUGCUAGAUUUGUGUUUUAGUUAUUAUCGAUUGAAUGCCUGGUUUGUUGAUAUACAUUAUGGUGGUGUUUAUAUAUUGGUUGUUUGUUAAUGUGUUCAAUUUUAAAACUGGGAUUUGUAUCUUCGAGAAGGCAAUUCCCCUCUAAAGGACUCGGCCUUUCUAAACACCGCAAACUAUUUAGGCUUGAAAAGCCAGCUUCAUUUAUUUAGUUGCUUCCUCUAAAGGAUUGCUUGAAAAGCCAGGCCACCGGAGAUUGGUUGCAGGUGAGAAUCGACUAUGUGUUUGUAUUAGAUUAUAAGUAGGCACAUGGGUAUUUGCAGGGGUGGGUUCAGGUGGUCCAAAUCGGGGGAAGGCGGUGGUGGUUGGUUGUUGUUGGACUUGGGUGUUUGUAAACGAGGGUGCUGCGGUGCUGCUGAGUUGAAGCAGCAUAGAUAAAUGACGACAAGCUGCAAUUGUAGGCGGGAGAGAUUGAUUUUAAACCCCUGUGACAGAGGUCAUAACCGCAGGAGUUGGUGGUUAAAUCGAGCAGCGGAAGAGGAAACAAACAGAGGUUGAUGAUGAAGUGAAUGCAUUAGCACAACUGAUGACCUGGAAAAUGGCAGUAGCUAACAUACCUUAUGGUGGAGCUAAAGGAGGGAUAGGAUGCAAUCCUGGGGAGUUGAGUAUUUCUGAGCUAGAACGACUUACUAUUUGCAAGGUUAUGCUUAUUGCUUUUUUUUCAUAAUUUAUUGUUGUUUCUGUCUAAAGACUUGUCUGUGCAAUCUUUUUGUCCCGUUCUUAUUAUCUAUUAUGAUUGUCCCGUUCUUAUUAUCUAUUAUGUCUGAUGCCAGGAACUGUCAAUGGAACUGUGGGUGUCAACAAGAUGGCUAUAGUUGAUUCACUUGCAAACCAAGAUGUGGAGAUCUCUCUUUUGGACCUCAACCCCAAAACAAGAUAUAAUUUGCAUGAAAAACUUGUUGAGUCACUAUCUCCUGCAGAACCACCAAAGGCUGAAGAACGUGCACAAGUCAUUAUAGAUAAUGUAUAUGAAAUUAUUAUAACUUGGAUUUGCGCAAAUUACAGGAUUUUUAUUUUAUUUUUCAUUCUUUGUUUUCUUAUGUAAUUUUAGUAAAUUGU